AACGAACGCUGGCGGCAUGCCUAACACAUGCAAGUCGAACGAUGCCUUCGGGCAUAGUGGCGCACGGGUGCGUAACGCGUGGGAAUCUGCCUUUCGGUUCGGAAUAACUCAGGGAAACUUGAGCUAAUACCGGAUAACGUCGCAAGACCAAAGAUUUAUCACCGAAAGAUGAGCCCGCGUAGGAUUAGCUAGUUGGUGAGGUAAAGGCUCACCAAGGCGACGAUCCUUAGCUGGUCUGAGAGGAUGAUCAGCCACACUGGGACUGAGACACGGCCCAGACUCCUACGGGAGGCAGCAGUGGGGAAUAUUGGACAAUGGGCGAAAGCCUGAUCCAGCAAUGCCGCGUGAGUGAUGAAGGCCUUAGGGUUGCAAAGCUCUUUUACCCGGGAAGAUAAUGACGGUACCGGGAGAAUAAGCCCCGGCUAACUCCGUG
RNAcentral lists this ribosomal RNA (433 nucleotides) under uncultured bacterium. RNAcentral's name for it is "partial 16S ribosomal RNA". It matches the Rfam family "Bacterial small subunit ribosomal RNA", at positions 29 to 507 of the family's 1533-position model. The record is from RNAcentral.